RNAcentral lists this ribosomal RNA (492 nucleotides) under uncultured bacterium. RNAcentral's name for it is "partial 16S ribosomal RNA". It matches the Rfam family "Bacterial small subunit ribosomal RNA", at positions 29 to 507 of the family's 1533-position model. The record is from RNAcentral.
AGUGAACGCUGGCGGUAGGCCUAACACAUGCAAGUCGAACGGCAGCACGGUAAGAGCUUGCUCUUACGGGUGGCGAGUGGCGGACGGGUGAGGAAUACAUCGGAAUCUACUUUUUCGUGGGGGAUAACGUAGGGAAACUUACGCUAAUACCGCAUACGACCUACGGGUGAAAGCAGGGGAUCUUCGGACCUUGCGCGAUUGAAUGAGCCGAUGUCGGAUUAGCUAGUUGGCGGGGUAAAGGCCCACCAAGGCGACGAUCCGUAGCUGGUCUGAGAGGAUGAUCAGCCACACUGGAACUAAGACACGGUCCAGACUCCUACGGGAGGCAGCAGUGGGGAAUAUUGGACAAUGGGCGCAAGCCUGAUCCAGCCAUACCGCGUGGGUGAAGAAGGCCUUCGGGUUGUAAAGCCCUUUUGUUGGGAAAGAAAAGCAGCAGGUUAAUACCCCGCUGUUCUGACGGUACCCAAAGAAUAAGCACCGGCUAACUUCGUG